UAUGUUUGUUGUGCGUGCUUGUGAAGUCGUCGUCCCAUGCGUAAUCGCUGUGCUGGAUUCAAGUGUACGACUGUACUCUUGAACAGAAACGCACAGUGACAGCACUUCGACAGUGUCUUCAACGUGGUAUGCGCUGUGUUCGGCGAAAAAUUGUGAUCCAGUCUGGGUGGGAGUGGUUGACCCUCUCUGCAGGGCCCCCCGAGAGGAUGGAACCCCCCCGCUAUGUGGCAUCAAAUUGGGGACGCUCGUUUUGACGUGACCUGUUCGUGCCCUGUCGGGCGUGCUGUUCUCGACGUUCUUCGACGCGUCUUCCUCGAGCGAUCGCACAGAAAGUGGUGUGACCCACAGGAACUUUCGUUUUUGAAGGAAUUUUCACCAGGAGCCGAUGGUUUCGGGCAGAGGGGGCACCGCAAUCCGUAAGGAUGGAUGGAAAACAAGUGUACGCCUUUCAAGAUAUGUAUGGAAGCAGGACAUUGUCCACACCAAUAUACAAAAAGGAAUAUUGAUAAAAAAAUUGAUUCAUGUCAUGCUGAAUGUGUGGUCAGCUUUGUGAACUUUUGCUGUGUAUCUGUGGUUCUACUUGUGCUGCCUCAAUCACUAAGGCUAAAUUGCUUUGAGCUGUUACUGCUUUAAAAAGGGCGUGCCUGUCCUGUGGUUGGCUUUUGUGCCCCAAUUGUUUUGAAGAAAACCUUUUGUCUUUUGAUUAUGCUCCAUGAAAUGCAACUGUGAGCUUUAAUCGAACUAGACAUACAGCCGCUGUAUAACGAAAUUUUAGUGCCAUUUUUUUUAUAAAAAGAGCCAAGUUGUGCUUAACUGAAAAGUCGCAAUAUAUGAGUAAAAUGAUUAAAAGGAAGUUUUUUUUUUUUUUAGGUCAAGCUGUGAAUAGCGUAAUUGCAAGCAUUUUUACAUGUAAGUAAAAAAAAAAAUCUGUCCCAGACGUCUUUCGGAGCACUAACAAUCUUUUCGACCUUAUUGGGUUUCGACAGUUGCAGUGUGUUGGCUGGCCAUUGUUGUGGUUGAAAGGAAGCAGGAAGUUCUAUCACCCAUUGGAGCAUAUAUGAAAUACUAAAGUUUAUGGAGGGCAUAUCGGCGAACAGGCAACAUUGCAAAGUAGUAUUGUGUCUGAUGGUGCGAAAUGCAGCCCGAUAUGUCUGCAGCCAAAGAGUAUUGCGAGUGAAGCUGCCACAUAACUCAAGUCUACGGAUUGGUUGGUUUUGAUUCCCUUACAUAAGCUAGCAUUCAGCGCAUAUUGUGCUCGUGGACAUCUAUGGGGUGCACCAUAAAUGCUGUCAUUCCAGCAGAUUUCUAAGAGCGUUGAACUUUAGAGGCCCAAGCUUGCCGUCCAUCUGUAGAUAGAGAUAACGCAAAGUUGUGACGAACUAGUUGACAAUACAGUCCUAAAACAAGCUAGAAAUGCUGAAAGCUGGGUUAAAAUAAAAGACUGUCUAAAAUGAUAUAAUUAACAGAAUUAACCAAUAAAUAAUUCCAAUAUUUUAGUUAAAAUCUUUAAAAACACUGAAAACGAGCUGCUGAUGCUCGCAUCACGCAAGGGAAGACUUCCACUGCCUUGACAAGUGCACGAUUGCUCCCGCCAUCAGCGACUACGUUGCUCCAUCUGAACGGUAAAAGAAACCUAGCAGAACUCGCUGCAGAGACACGUAUUUGAUUGUUGUAACAAUCAAAUCUGUUUGUUCAAAAUCAAAUUUGUUUUCAAUCAAUCACAAGUUUACUUGUGAAACAAAAAGACUAGAUUUUCUCACAUUGUUUCAAAAGUACAUUUGUUGUUUGCUUUAUCAUGAACACUUAUUUCAUUGUUCUUUAUUGCAUGCUAGCUCUUUAACAUCAUUAUCAGCACUCAAAUGACAUUGCACAUUGUUCAAAGAUUUCUGAAAUAAUAUUAGCCGUAAUUUGCAAAGUUAUGUGACCAGCUCGCGAGGCCUGUUGAUAGCAGAGAGCGCACGAAAUUUUGUGGUAGGUUGAACAUUACAGUACUGUUGUUUUUACAAGAUGGUGCAUAAUAUGGUGCUGCAAUGUGUGCUGUUGAAAAAAUUCAUAAAGACGAGGUGUGACCGGAGCCAACACAUCGACAAGCGAACUUGUUUUCGAGUCUGCAACUGUCCACUUAUCGAAAUGUCUGUUCAUAAAUUUUUCACUUCUUCAAGCGUCUUUCCCUGAAGUCCUGCCUUUUUGAGUGUGUGCCUUUUUAUAUAUCUAUACUCUGCAUUAAAUUAUGUGCAUUUUCAUUUAUUUUUCAGGAGCUUCAAAUUGAUUUUGUAUGUCAUUAUUUGCAUCACCAUCUUUCAAUGCCUCUAAUAGAUGUUUCAAUUUUUUUAACUUGCAAGAAUGCAUUAUAUGCACCUAAGUCAAUAUCUCAGUUUCCUGUUAUGAAUCUUGUGCAGAGGGUUAUCAAUGAAAUGAUUACUAGAUGAACUGCAAAUGAUAGUUUAUACACAUUCUUUUUUUUAUUCUGCACCUAUUUUGUGCUCACUUAUCCGUGUCCUUAAUUAUUUUUGCUCUGUUUGCCAGGUAAAGUGUUAUAAAAGUUUAAAGUGGCACUAUGCAAUCAUAUUAUGAAAAUGUAAUUGAGUGUGACUACGUAGUCAUGAUAUUGGUGGUUUAUAGCCUAUUUUGUGUCACUGAUAAUUAUUCAUCAGCAGCUCAUAUACCAGCAGUCUCUUUUUUUUUAAUUGUUGAAGCUAAAUAUUAUCACGAUAGCGCAUAGUAAGAGCGUAGGUAUAUUCAGAAUUUUCAAAUAACUAAUCAAAUAAUUUUUGUUGAAUAUGGUACUCAAAUCAAAUGGGGCAUACUGGAAAUACCAAAUAUUUUUUGAAUAGCUUUUGAAUAAUUAGCUAUGACAAAAAAAUAUUCGAAGAAAUGAAACAUGGGAACAGUGAGGGGUGACUUUUCCUGUUUUCAUCAUCGAAUCAUCUAGAUCUACCCAGCCCUAGUACUUACUGCAGUAACGACACCACAUUGUUGAUAACAGGAUGAAUGCAUUUUGCUUAAAACUGCAGUGUCACCAAAGUGAUAGUGUCAACAAUCAAUUAUCUUUGUUAUAAAAUUCAUGACGUUAAGUUAUGAAAGUCACAUAAUAUUUAAGUACCAGUUUUAUUUAAGAGGUGUUGAUAAUAGUCACUGCUUUGUUUCAGCCAUGCAGUGACAAAAUAUUUCGUAGACUAGUUGCUGCUCAUUUUGAAUAUUUAUAGUAUUUUUGUUGGGCGAAGGGAUGUGUAAUGUGAUCAUUUAAUAAAGCUUGGAAAUAUUUAGUUUAAAAUAGAUUUCGUGUAAUUCUUGGGCAGUUUUAAAGAUUGUCACUUUACCAAUUCAGGCCUGCUUUGAAGAUUAGUGUUUUACUACUUCGGAAACUAUUCAAAUAGUAUUUAUUCAUGUUCUAUUUGGUAACGUCACUGUUUGAUUUGUAAUGAAUUUGGUUCUGAAGUUCACUAUUCACUCACUCCUCGCACAUAGAGUCUAUAAAUAUAUAAAUUAUAUAAAUUACCUCAGGUGUUUUCAGUGAGCAUAACAUUUGUGUAAUUUUUUCUACGUUGUAACAUUGAUAUCAUUACAAAGUGUUCAAAAAGUUGUGUAUUCUGUCUGUUUCAAAAUAUGUAAACAAAGGUGUCAUUUCUUAUAUAUAUAUUCUAUGCCGAGUUGAAAACUUUGUUGUAUUGUGGUUUUACAUACUAUAUGAAAGCCGUUGAACCUUUGUAUGCUGUAUGUAUAGUUUAUGCUACGUCUGGGUGUUCUUUUGGGUUAGUUACACAAGUUCAAGUGAUAUAAUUACAAUAUAAAUUGGCUAAAAGAAAAGCUAAUUAUUAAUUUGUGGUUAUUUUACUGCAGUUUUGAUAGCUGUGUAUUGUGUGUUCAGCCACUGUCUUUCAUUUCUAGUGCGCAUGAUAUCAAUUUGCAUGCGUUAGCCUAGUAUAAAGAAAAUACUAGUUCCUGAAAGUUCUCCUACUGUUUCUUUUGUAAUAUAUUACCUUGGAAAUUCUAACUUCAUUGAUUAGAGUUUUUGUAAGCAUCAAAAAGACAGUCUGAUGAGUUGGUUGAUAAUACCUAAUUCAGAACAGAAGCGCAAAAAUUCUAACUUCAUUGAUUAGAGUUUUUGUAAGCAUCAAAAAGACAGUCUGAUGAGUUGGUUGAUAAUACCUAAUUCAGAACAGAAGCGCAAAGCAUCACACUGAGGACAGUAGAUCAAAACGGACACAGCGCUAAUUUACAACUCAGUAUUUGUUGCAUGCGAUCUCAUAUAUAUAUAUAUAUAUAUAUGCACACGACACUAAAGAAAAAAGAGGGGAUGGGGCACACAAGGUAAUCGACUCGGCAAAUGAAAUAGGUGGCCCAAGUGGCGGAAAUACCAUUUCCUUCUCUGACAAGCAGAUUGGGGGCUACUUACAGGGUCUCUGUAUUUAAUCUCGACCACUUCAAUAAUUUUUUGCGUGACACAUUUUGAUCUGUUGCCAUCUGUGUGAUGCUCUGCACUGCUGUUCUGAAUUUCAAACAUCACUUUGCCAGUUGGCAUCAAUGUCGUGCUGCCGUUUUCAGGAGAGGAUGUAGCAGUGGCCUUGGGCACUCUAACAUGAAGAUUGCACGUGAACGGCAGUGUGAAAAGGCAUAGCAAAAUGAGCUUGCAUUCAGCUGUUCUUGUAUAGUAAGCGACCUUGUUACUUUGGAUGCACCACUUGACUAGAGCUUGUUCUUUUUUCACGCAUUUUCUAUAUCUCUUAGCACAUUUGCACCAGUGAGUAAAGUGGUAAAAUAAUUAACUUCGCAAAAACCACUGUAUUAGUGUUUUUCACGACAUCUGUGCCACACGUUUGUUGCUCAAGUAUCGGAAGUUGACUGUCUCUUUUGUUUUCUUUCUUGCUUUUCUUCGGGACCAGCGUCGACGGUACGAGGCUAUCCCAUCGCUCCCUGCCUCCUGCGCGCCAGCAACAGCAACGCGGGACGCCCGUCGUCCACAUCUCUGCGGCACUUCUUCUCGUCCGGUGGCACGGACAUGCCUAAGAAGUUCCAGUGCCGACAGUGUCACUACUCUACCAACAUCAUGACCAACCUGCGACACCACAUCCGCGUGCACUCGGGAGAACGGCCCUUCAAGUGCUCGGAUUGUGGCAAGGGCUUCAUCCAGAAGAUCCAGAUGAUCAAGCACAAUUGCAUCGCGCGGAUGCGUGACGUCGUCGUACCCGCGUCCGCAGUGUCGCCGACGGGGCUCUCGCCUUCAUCACCCGUGCCUCCGGCAAACUCGCUCUUCAGUUGUUCCAAAUGCGGAGAAGCGUUCCUCGGCGAGGCGCUCCUACUGCAGCACAUGAUGCUCGUGCACAUGGCGCAGUGAGCAACGUUCAGCUGUGCACGAAAGUAGUAUGCUAGGCAAAUUUCUCAUUGUCACAACAUAACGACACUGGUAUGGGGCAAAGAAUGAUGGCACCAAAAAUGCCUAAUAAUGGCUGUGUGCCUGGUUUGUGCAGUAUGAAAUCAAAUGUGAAAGUAUGUGCUUGCCUCUUUACACAGAUGCUUUACACGGAUCUAGUUGUAGUGUGUAAGCGAAUCUAGCUACACAGCUAGUAAAGGUGUUUCAUGCAAGCAAGCGAAGAUGGGGCUGCAGGUCAUUUAACCUUGCAAACUCCUUAUAAGGAGGUAGGUUAUAGCACAUGUAUCACUCGUUGCUGCACACAGACUUCUGCCACAACUUCUACUUUGAGUGACGUUGCUGUCGAAGUCAGCAGCUUUGUUGUCAUCAUUCUUUGUGCUGCUUUGUCAUCAUACUUGGCUGAGAAGCACAUGUACUGUAGCAAUGUCACUUUCAGUGACAAUAUGCACAUUUGAAUCAAACACCUGAUAGACUGGCUUUUACAACACAAUGUGGCUUUAUUAUAUCAAAGUGUGCUUUGAUAAAGCUUGUUCGCAUUAAGAUUGUUAGGUCUAGGUGGUUUCGUGUCAAGAUUCUGUAUACAAUGGAUUGAGGUACACCUGCACGCAGAGAUGGUCAUUAUGUCAAGAUACGUUGUCGAUUUAUCUGUCUUGAAGCAUUGGAAGUGCAUGCCGUUGCGUACAAAGGCAUUAUUUGCAGCCCUAGAUACGUUAUUUGAUGUCUAGCUAUGUUGAGAGCUUGACAGUUUGCUUAGCUUUGUAGCGGCUAUUAUGUUAGCAUAGCUAGAUAGAUGACUAACUUUUGUUAAUGGGCUCGCCAGUAGAAUUAUUGCUAUAUAGAGAAUGCUGAACACGCUCUGCUACCAUCUGCUCAAGGAAGACCAAACUUUCAGUUCGCCCCGCUGCAGUGGUCAAGUGGCUAAGGUACUCGGCUGCUGAACCACAGGUCACGGGAUCGAAUUCCAGCUGUGGUGGCUGCAUUUCCGAUGGAGGCGGAAAUGUUGUAGGCUCAUGUGCUCAGAUUUGAGUGCACAACAAAGAACCUCAGGUGGUUGAAAUUUCUGGAGUCCUGCACUACGGCGUCUUUCAUAAUCAUAUUGUGGUUUUGGGACGUUAAACCCCACAUAUCGAUCUAUCUACCAAACUUUCAGUUCACAAAAUGCAUUUCUGUGAAGCCUCAUACCAUUGUACUAGCGCUAAUAAAUUAUUGAAGACAUUUAGCGAUAGCAUAUCGAACAUUCGAUUAUAGGAAAGCUAAGAGCUUACAAAAAACACUCGGUUGUCAAAAGAUGCCGUGCAAUUUUUAUUCUAAAGAUUUGGCUGGCUACUGAAUCACGGUAAAUGAUGUGCACAUUCUCUGGCAAGUACUGUAUACAUGCGACGACACGAAAAGAAGAACAGCAUCUACUGUAGAGAAAUUCUGAUACUCUGAUCCUCGCGUAGUGAUUUGAAACGUUAUUCUAUGUCUCACUUUGUUUAGAGAUCUUUGUAGUUAUUUACUGUCAUUUCUUGAAGUCCUCUUCAUGCUAUUAGCUAAAUGAACAGUGUGGUUCAUAAGUGGACUAGAUGGUCUUCGAGCCAGUCAAGUUUUAGAUGGUUAGCGAAAAGUAUCAAAAUUGGAGGCGAGCCGGUGCAAAGACUUCCAUGUGGUGUCGUCACCUGCGCUUUCUGGCUUGCCAAACAAUCUCCUAUGACAAAAGUGGUGCUUUCUGGGGUUGUGGAAAGUUAAUUUAUUAAAUUGUCUUUCUCUUCAGUGUUGGUUCAAUCCUGUGCGAUUCUGCAUCCACCAAACAAGAUUUACCUAGUUGCUAGUAGAGGCGGUCAGGCUUGUUGUCUUGGUGGUCAAGAACACAGCCGCUCAGAAUGAAGUACUGUUGACUAGCCUUGACAAGCUUUUUCUUCACCUUGCUAUUCACGAAUCUUUAGUUUACGUUCACCAACCCAAGUCUAAGCUCUCCGAUUAUUCCAAGAGGAAGGCAUGAGCCGCUUUUGUGAGUUUCAAGUGGUAGACGUAUCUUCGAAGGAAUUAGCUCCCCUACCCUGUUCUGUUUUUGUGCCUUGUUCUUUUUUAGUCAUGCAUUUUUUCAUUUAUGUAGAACCCAUAAUUGUUCACACUUAUUAGAUAGGUACUCAGGUAUAUCGCUUGCAUUAUUUCCUGUUAACCUUCCGUGCAUUAACAUGGGUGUACUUGUACUCUAAGCUGUCUUUGUUUCUUUGCUUGCGAACUAUGGAAUUUUGGCUCUUACUAUGAGAUGCUUGACUUCAACAUGUUCGUCACUGUGGAGCAGCUAAGUCACUGCCUCUUGGUGCUCAUUCUAUAACACAUUUUCGAAAACUGCAGAGGGAUGGGAAACGGGUGCAGCAAGCGUGGGGAGAAAUUAUCAUUUGUGACUUAACUGAGAAUGUGACUUUAGUGUUAAUGUUACGAAUGGAGUUGGCAUUUAAGAUGUGCGCCAAUAAUGGUUGUUUCAACCCAUAUUUUAGUCACUUCAAGAAGCUGUUUCCUUAUAAGUUCAAUGCUGUUUUAUUAUUUGCGAGCAUUCGUCAGCAAAUUUAACAAAAUUUAGGCUUUUCAUAUUGUAGGCUGAUGAAGUUUGGCUUCUUAAGAACUUUGGUGAUAGUUUUCUGGUUGUAAAAGGCUGAAUUAAUUCCGAAGGUCUCCUGCAGCACUUUUCUGAGUAACCAUCAAAUGGCUCCAUUAAAGGAGUUUGUCGCCUCUCAAAUCAGCCACCGCAAAACUUAAAAUCUAUCAAGUACGAGUCAAGUUGGAGACUUUUUGCAGGCUGUGGUUGCUUUCUCUCUUCUCUUGUCCUGACGAGCAAUCUGAAAGCUAAGCAGAGAGGGAUGGUGUAUGAGAAGAAGUUAUGUCAUGUACAUAUCAUGACCUUGAACACUCUUUUUUUUUUUCCUUCGAACAUACCGCGCCGCUUAUUUUCAUAAUCCUUAGUGCUCGUACGGGCAUGUGGUGGCCUCCUGCGGCAGCAACCGUAGCUGUGCUGCUCGUGAUGGCAACUCAGCCAGUAGUCGUGAAUUUGGUGGGGUCAUUUUGGUAGGUCAUGAUUUGUAGAAAAAAAGAGGGAAUGAUAUCCAAGUGACUUUGACAACUAAUUGUAAAUUCCUGUCCGCAUGCUGUGAUAUAAUGUUUGUCUCGCAUGUUCCCAGGAGCGUAGUGUACCGAUCAGCGGUGUCUCUUAACAAUGAUGAAAAAGUGUUGCAGAACCCUUUUAAAUAUAGUAUUUGUAUGUACCACAUUUACUAAUAUGAAGCCGCAUAGAAGUAUUGACCUACAAUGCAUGCCUAACAACUGCACUGUCUGCAGUGUAUUCAGAGUGUUUUCUUUGUAAUGUCUUUUUGGCCUAUCAGAUUGUUUGCUAAAAAAGCAGUAUGAAAUACUCAAGCCUCUGAAAUAUUCCAGGGAAUGAUGUUAGAAUGCUUUUUUGUGAGUUCAUAUGGCUCCAUCACAAAACAUGGAGUCUCCUUUUUUUUACAUCUGAUCAAGAUGUCAGAUCACAGGUGUUGUGCAACAAAUGUCAUAAUUUUUUCAUCGCCAAAUACAGGCCUUUUAGUUAACCGUAUGGCAUGCACUUCCAAUGUUUAGAGUGACUGCAGAGCUUCCCGGUGCUUUAGGAUUUCGCAGAAUUGAAAAUACUUCGACAACUGAAGUCGACAGAGCAUUGAUUAUUGAGGAUAUCAGGGCAAUGUUUUUAGGAUGAUCCCUUUGGUUGGCGACUACCUGGCAGGAAUCGCAAAUAUCCUACUGUGCGCAUGCAGAACGUUUGGCUGUCGUGCACUGUGCCUGUUCAUUGUGUCAGAGGUUCACAUUGUUGCAAAAAGGAGCGGGACUGUUUACGUGUAUUCUUAGCAGUUGCAUUGAGAAGCAGUCUUUAGUGGCGAGCAGGAACUACAUUAGAUGCAUGAACCUCGACAGAGGCACUUGUUAGCUGUUGAACAUUUAUAAGAUGUGCUCUUGAUGUUUAACGUGUAUGGAAGUAGAUUUUAAUGUGGAAAAAGUGAUUGGACAGGUUACAUGAGCAAAGCAUCUGGUGAUUUGUUUUAGAGUUCUACUUUACGAAAAGCCAAUGACAAGAAAUCGCAUUGCUUUUUAUGAAAUGCUAUUUGAACAAGUUAUAGAUGGCUUGUGCAUUUUGUACAAUAUGCCUUACACGUAUGCGUAUGCCUGUUUGCUCUUAUAUGAAAGACCAGUUAAUACUCGGCACAUAUGUCUUGUUAGCGUCGCUUGUCUUGUCGUACACACGGUUUGCCUCGUUAAAUGUGAUUGGAUGCUGGAUAAGCAAGCAUUUUAACGAUUGCAAUAGCAAACGCGAAAGCAGAUGAGAAGGCUAGUUUUGUCAGAGUUUAUGCUACAUUCGUAGUUUCGGCGAGAUUAUUAAAUGAAGAGAAGUAAGAAGGCAGGUUCGUGAGAAUGUAGUGUAAGAGAGAAAGUGACAGGUUUUGUUCCUUUUACUCUUUUUUUUAUUCUCAUUCUUGCAGCACUGUCAAAAAGUGACAGAUGUUUUUUGUUUGUGUUUCAUAGAAUUAGUACUUUCCUUUUGUGUGCCAUGCUGCCAGUUACUUGAGCUGCGCUUUAGCCAAGUGCGAAGAAGUCUGCAUCUCUUUUAUUCUUUCAGGCUAUUUUGUAGCAAGGACUGCUGAAAAUAAUAUUCCUAUAUGCACUGAACAAUGUAACCUUUAUUAUAUGCUUGACGCGGUUAGUUUAGAUUAGCAAACUUUGGAGCAUUACAGGAAGCACUCGGUGAACAGAUUACAGUUUUUUAUCCUAAGUUCUCUUUUUUUUUUUUUUCAGAGAGCUUGAGUUAUAUGCACAAAUGUUUUUCAUACCUUGCAGGUAUCAGUAAGUAGAACCAAAUAAAAUAGACACCUUCUAUAAAAUGUCAUUCUCUUGCUUAAAAUUUUUCAUUUUGGAUGCGAACCUGUCUUGUGUAUUCAAGUAAACGUGGGCCCUGCAUAUAUAGCUAAUGUGCUAUUAAUGACAUUGAAUGCCUGAUGCCCAUUUUUAUUCAUUGUAAGCUGUAUGUUUGAUCCCUUUUUGAACAGGGCUGUCUUUCCUUGGGCAGACAUAUUUGUUAAUAGCUCCGGAUACAUUCAUAUGCAAAGUAAGCCUCCCUUACGCAGCUUUAGUAGCAGUUAGCACUUAUGGCUGUAUGCAAAAUGUUUGCUUUUUCCAAGCCAGAGCAGUGUGCACUGGUGUAGGGUAAUAUUCAAGCCAAAAAGUGACACCGUAGAGAAUUAUGAAUGUCUGACCCAGUGUAGUAUUUUUAGUAGCCAAUUGCUAGAAUGACCGUAGAGCUGUUUUAGACUUUAUUGAAACGAGCCAUGUUCCCAUAUGUUUUUGACUCAUUUGUGUUUUUAUAUUGCGCUCAUAUUUGCUAAACUACUUAUACCAAUCUCUCAAAGUCUUUCGUAUUGUUGCAUUUUGUUUAUGUGCAAGUGGUUUUUACGUGUUAUUACUGAUCAUUGGCUGUGUCAUUGAGAUGUACUUUUGUCACACCUACACAUUUAAUUAUUGCUGAGAACAAGUUUAACGAAGGUUCACAGUCUACAGGACCUCCCUUUCUUUUUUCUUUCAAUAUUUGACAAAAGUAUCUCGACAUUUAGGACUGUCCAAACGUGUGUGUCUACUUGAGACAGCUUUCUCGGGUUCGUAUCACGUUGUAUGCACUGAUGCCAACUUAGCAUUUUCAUUAGCACCCCCCUCCCUUUUUUCGUUGUGUUCAAGUGCGUGAGUGUACGCUUGUCUUCCUUGUUCCUAAUUUCAAAGAUUAUGUACUCAGGUUGAUUGUAUUUAUGACAUUAUUUCCUCUUGUAACGUCGCACAUUGACAUCGUGUGCUCGUGCUUUGUUUUAUUGGUAGCGUGAAAGCGCAUGUUGAGAUAAGCUGUGCCGUCUUCAGACAUUGUUUACAAAGACUUCCGAUUUAGCCAAACUGUUCCAGCAGCUGCUUUUUUUUUCCCUCAAAAAAGCAAGCUUGCUGUCAUUUUCUUGUUUUCUAUUGUUUAUGUGGUGUGUCCCCUACUACUGCCUUUGCGAUUUCAUCUGAGGUAACAAAAAAAUGGCAGGUAUACUGAACAUGCGUAGCUCCUAGUACGCCAUUACAUUUUAGGUCUUGGCCUGGACUGAUUGUGUACUUGCUGAGUACUUCGCAGUUGGAAGCAUGUUUUUGUCAUGUCAGCAGUGGGGAGCUAAGAACUUCCCUUUCAGACUAUGCAGACUACUGUAGAAUGGCACUUAUAUUCUGCCAAUAAAGGCUAUUCUUUUGGCAUUUUA
Rhipicephalus microplus (southern cattle tick) is the source of this 11655-nucleotide long non-coding RNA. NCBI's taxonomy places the organism in Eukaryota, Metazoa, Arthropoda, Arachnida, Ixodida, Ixodidae. The record is from RefSeq and is a predicted model, not a curated record.